GACGAACGCUGGCGGCGUGCUUAAUACAUGCAAGUCGAACGGAAAGGCCCUGCUUUUGUGGGGUGCUCGAGUGGCGAACGGGUGAGUAACACGUGAGUACACUGCCCUUGACUGUGGGAUAACUUCAGGAAACUGGGGCAAUAACCCGAACGGAGCACCUGCUGCAUGGGGGGGGUUGGAAAGCUUCGGCGGUUGGGGAUGGACUCGCGGCUUAUCAGCUUGUGGGGGGGGUAGUGGCUCAACAGGGCUUAGACGGGUCGCCGGCCUGAGAGGGUGACCGGCCACAAUGGGCCUGAGGUACGGCCCAGACUCCUACGGGAGGCAGUGGUGGGGAGUAUGGCACAAUGGGCGGAAGCCUGAUGCAGCGGCGCUGCGUGCGUGAUGACGGCCUUCGGGGUGUAAACCGCUUGCGCCUGUGACGAAGCGUGAGUGACGGUAAUGGGUAAAUAAGCACCGGCUAACUACGUG
This 468-nucleotide ribosomal RNA is filed under the name uncultured bacterium. RNAcentral's name for it is "partial 16S ribosomal RNA". It matches the Rfam family "Bacterial small subunit ribosomal RNA", at positions 28 to 507 of the family's 1533-position model. The record is from RNAcentral.